AAGUCGUAACAAGGUCUCCGUUGGUGAACCAGCGGAGGGAUCAUUACGAAAGGAGUAUUCCGUACUCUUCAACCCUUUGUGAACUUACCUAUUGUCAGUUGCUUCGGCGGGAGGCCCCUGGGAGGGGCCCCGGGGCCCGGUCCUGAGCCGGGCUCCCGCCGGAGGAGCGCAACCAAAACUCUUGCUGUACCUCAGUGGCACCUCCGAGUAAAAAAAAAUAAAAAACAAGUUAAAACUUUCAACAACGGAUCUCUUGGUUCUG
RNAcentral lists this unclassified non-coding RNA (262 nucleotides) under fungal sp. RNAcentral describes it as "partial internal transcribed spacer region". The stretch from base 1 to 46 matches the Rfam family "Eukaryotic small subunit ribosomal RNA", at positions 1786 to 1831 of the family's 1831-position model. Lineage: Eukaryota; Fungi. The record is from RNAcentral.